GGCUAACGCUGGCGGCGUGUCUUAGCCAUGCAAGUCGAGCGGACUUAUGGGGUAACUUAUAAGUCAGCGGCGGACGGCGGAGUAACACGUAGCUAACCUACCCUCUGGACGGGGAUAACCUACCGAAAGGUGGGCUAAUACCCGAUGUAGUCAUCCUGUAUAGGGGUGAUGAAAGGUGGGCUUCUGUUUACAAGCUCAUGCUGGAGGAGGGGGCUGCGGCCUAUCAGGUAGUUGGUAGGGUAAUAGCCUACCAAGCCGAUGACGGGUAGCCGGCCUGAGAGGGUGACCGGCCCGAGGGGCACUGAGAUACGGGUCCCACUCCUACGGGAGGCAGCAGGCUAGAAAUUUGGGCAAUGGGGGAAACCCUGACCCCAGUGACGCCGCGUGCAGGAAGGAGCCCUUCGGGGUGUAAACUGCUGUCGUGUAGGGAGAAGGGUACUAAGGUGAACAAUCUUAGUACUUGACGGUACUACAGGAGGAAGCCCAGGCUAACCUCGUG
This 499-nucleotide ribosomal RNA is filed under the name uncultured bacterium. Its description in RNAcentral is "bacterial SSU rRNA". It matches the Rfam family "Bacterial small subunit ribosomal RNA", at positions 28 to 507 of the family's 1533-position model. The record is from RNAcentral.